RNAcentral lists this long non-coding RNA (2970 nucleotides) under Homo sapiens (human). RNAcentral describes it as "HSALNT0289990". Lineage: Eukaryota; Metazoa; Chordata; Mammalia; Primates; Hominidae. The record is from RNAcentral.
ACCACGGAACCUACAGUCGCUGGAUCAAGCUCUCCCUGCCCAGUGCUGUGAAUCAUGACUGGAGUGAGGGAAAACUGUAUAAAUGGCUGCAAACCAAGCCCACUGGUUACAGACAGUGUCUGCUAGCUGUAGACCACGCCUGUUGGUUACAAACCAAGUCCGAUGGUUCUGGGGCACAAGACAGUCCCCAUGACUAAGAAUGACCCAACCACAAACGCCGGCAGUGCUGUGGUGAAGGAGCCACGCAGGAGAAUGGAGGUGGUAAAAGCAGGCUCACCGGGGUCAAACUGUCCAGUUUUAAGUUCUGGAUCCAACUUUUACGAAUGCUAUGGACUUGGAAAAUUAUAACCUUUCACCGAGCCUCAGUUUCCCCAUCUGUAAAUAAUGGGAUGAUAACGGCACCUGCCUCCUGAUGCAGAGUUGGCUCGGCGCAGGGCAGCCAGGGCAGCAUCCCCAGCCCUCUGCACCUCCGGACGGUGAGAGCUCCCUGCUUAAUAACGAGCCGGGCCCGGGGACACUUACCCUCUGUCUUGCCUCGCAUAAGUCACUUCAUCCUUGCAAGGAGCAGUCUCUGGGUUCGUGUUAAAAAUCGAAGCUAAAAACCAGUGAUUCUUUUAAGGGUGAUGUUGAGCUUAAACCAUGUUGGGACUUGGAAUAAUAAUACAAAGAAGAACUGACUCCAGGGAGGACUUUCUGGGCUAGCACUGUGCUUUGUGCCUGGCAAGCACCCUCUCGUCUCAUCCUGGGAGUAAGGACAUGUUAACUUAGCAGAGACGAAGAAAUUGAGGCUCAGCGAGCGGGAGGGCCUUGCCGAGGACACAGCUGGCAAAUGGCCGUGUGACCAGAGCCUGCACUUGCAGCGAGACUUCUGUGCUCGCUCUGGUUUCAUCCUUUAAGAGGAACACCCUGCAACGGCCCCGGGGAAGCCCCCCUGCCUUCCUUCACCCCAGGGACCCCAGGAACAUUAGCCAAUAAUGAGAAUUUCUGGUUUCCCUCUCCCAUCUCAUGUCAGCGUUCGGCUAAAAACCUUCCAUCAGCAUCAACCCUAAUGUUUUCAGGCGAGUCUUUAAAUUAAAUUCCGUGGAAAUGGUUUCAUUUCAAUGAAUCAGAUUGGAAUGGCUGGGAGCAAUCCUAGCAGGAGAGCAGAUGCUGCGAGGGAGGCACGGAACCAGGGCCAGCGGGCCUCUUGGCGUCUUCCCGCCCCACCAACUGCCCGUCAGCUCCCAUUUGGUGGAGGCCGUCGCCCAGAGAACCAAUAAGGGUGACAUCUCAAGCAUGUGAGCAGAACCACAGUUGGAAAGAUAAUGUUUGCUCAGCGUCCCGAGGCAGGUGCCCAGCAGAGCUUCCUGGCGGGGCCUCCGGGUGCAGCGCUGAAUUGACUGUCUAGUCCCAUUAGUGUCUGAGGCCAGCCUGGUCCUCGCAGCCACUGUCUGUGCUCACAAAGAACAUGGAUCUCUGGCUCUGACCCGAGGCCUCCAAAGCCUAAAGUGUGGGAGAGGCAGCCAGGUCGUGUCGCACGUUGGGACAUCUCGCUAUGCGACAGUGCCUACUCAUCACUGCUUGAGCAGAACCCACCGUGCUUGCCCGGCCUCCGACCGUCCUGGGCUUGAACCCAGCUCCAUUGCUAGCGGAAGGAGGGCCCGGGAAACUCAUGCUGUGACCUGAUAAAUGGCAUGCAGAGGAGUGUGCGAUUUUCUCAGGCCAGCCGUGGGGAGCUGUCAGAGCCGUCCAAAUUAAAGACAUUAAGAAAGGACCUUUGGAGAUGGCAAACAGGAUGGUGGAAUGGAUUCUUUCUGUCAGAUGAGAACUGGACAACAUGACCUCACAAGAUCCUUCUUUUCCUAAAGACUCUGGGACUCUGUGGAUUCCUGGGAACCUUCCGAAGAGUCAGUAGAAGCGGAGCUCCAUCACCCCCAUAUUCCACAUUCUCAUAACCACCAGCUGGAUUUGCUCUCACAGUGACCUCUUUUCACUCCUUCCUGAGAUGUUUCUUGAGCUGGAGACCUGGCUGAGCACUUGCAUUUGUCUCUGCAACAUCCAUCAAACCAUUUACAUGAGUCUUUGCAUCACCUGGAAAGCAGAGCCUGAAGCAAGGGUUCGAAUGCGGAUCCUGGAUUUGGAAGGUGCAAGCCCAAGGUGGUGAGUGAGGGGUAGAUGGAGGCCAGGCAAGAGAAAGUACAGAGCUGGUGCUGGGGUGCGUGACCUUGCUCUUCCAUCUUCCACAAAGAGCCGCAGAGAAACUAGCAGGCAUGAGAAAGAGCCGCGAAGAAGCCAACAGCCCCUUGUAGACUCCUUACUGGGAAGACCACUAACAGCACCAGGAGGAAAUGCUGCAGCUUGCCUCAAAUCCUGGUCCAGCCGCGUGUCUGCUGGUGACUACAACAACCCUCUUAACGGAUCUGAGCCUUCGUUCCCUCAUCUGUGAGAACCAGGCUUGCAAAGCCUCUGCUACAUACUAAAGCCAGGGAGAGGCCACUGAUGGGCAAAAAGAGGAGGACAGAGACCUGGAAAACACUAACAAGGGCCCAGUAUAUGCAUAGGAAGCAGACGGCUGAUGUUCAGGUGGAGUUCAGGUUCAGUAUGCUCCAGCAGCACCCAUCGGAGAACCCAUUGGUAAGAGGCUUUGGAACAGAUGAUUUUCUAAAGCUAUAACUGUGGGUGGCUUAUAGGGGUAGUGUGGCCACUGUGACACAUAGGUCCCAUGCCAUACAGGACCUUGGAGCCCUGUCCAAAGCAGUGAUGGGAAAUGCACGUGACUGGGGGCUCUCAGUCUAGGGGAACUAGGAGGGCUUCAGAUCCCAGAGCCUGGCUGAAGCCCCAGCAGGACCACAGUGAUGUCUUGUCUUGGGAAAGUGUGUGCCCUGCCCCCAGAGACACCUGGACUUUUCAGCUCAGCGCUGCGGCAAGCACCCUAGCACAUGCCACCCAGGGCUUCCCAGAGGGUGGCCCCGAGUCAGGCAGUACACUAAA